CAGGCCUAACACAUGCAAGUCGAACGCCCCGCAAGGGGAGUGGCAGACGGGUGAGUAACACGUGGGAACGUGCCCUAUGGUUCGGAACAACCCUGGGAAACUAGGGCUAAUACCGGAUACGCCUGUGAUCCUUGGGGUCAUGGGGAAAGGUUUACUGCCGAAGGAUCGGCCCGCGGAUGAUUAGCGAGUUGGUGGGGUAACGGCCUACCAAGGCGACGAUCAGGAGCUGGGAUGAGAGGAUGAGCAGCCACACUGGGACUGAGACACGGCCCAAACGCUGACGGGAGGCAGCAGUGGGGAAGAUUGGGCAAUGGGCGAGAGCCUGACCCAGCCAUGCCGCGUGCAGGAAGAAGGCUUGAUGAGGAGGAAACUGCUUUUGAGAGGGAAGAAGAACCAGGACGGUGACUGGGAUGACGGGACUGACAGAAGAAGCACCGGCGAACGCCGUGCCAGCAGCCGCG
Molecule: ribosomal RNA, 461 nt
Filed under: uncultured bacterium
Lineage: Bacteria
Description: bacterial SSU rRNA
Rfam family: Bacterial small subunit ribosomal RNA
Source: RNAcentral